AACGAACGCUGGCGGCAGGCCUAAUACAUGCAAGUCGAACGCUCGUAGCAAUACGAGAGUGGCAGACGGGUGAGUAACACGUGGGAACCUUCCCUAUGGUUCGGAAUAGCUCAGGGAAACUUGAGGUAAUACCGGAUAAGCCCUUACGGGGAAAGAUUUAUCGCCAUUGGAUGGGCCCGCGUCGGAUUAGCUAGUUGGUGGGGUAACGGCCUACCAAGGCGACGAUCCGUAGCUGGUCUGAGAGGGNGAUCAGCCACACUGGGACUGAGACACGGCCCAGACUCCUACGGGAGGCAGCAGUAGGGAAUAUUGGACAAUGGGCGCAAGCCUGAUCCAGCCAUGCCGCGUGAGUGACGAAGGCCUUC
This 365-nucleotide ribosomal RNA is filed under the name uncultured bacterium. Its description in RNAcentral is "bacterial SSU rRNA". It matches the Rfam family "Bacterial small subunit ribosomal RNA", at positions 29 to 419 of the family's 1533-position model. The record is from RNAcentral.